Molecule: ribosomal RNA, 1085 nt
Filed under: bacterium
Lineage: Bacteria
Description: bacterial SSU rRNA
Rfam family: Bacterial small subunit ribosomal RNA
Source: RNAcentral
UGUUAUGAAGAAGGGCUUUCGGGUUGUAAAGUACCUUUCAGCGGGGGAGGAGGUGUUGUGGUUGAUAAUCAUCAGCGAUGAACGUUAGCCGCAGAAGAAGCACCGGCUAACUCCGUGCAGCAGCGCGGUAAUACGGAGGGUGCAAGCGUUAAUCGGGAAUUACUGGGCGUAAAGCGCACGCAGGCGGUCUGUCAAGUCGGAUGUGAAAUCCCCGGGCUCAACCUGGGAACUGCAUUCGAAACUGGCAGGCUAGAGUCUUGUAGAGGGGGGUAGAAUUCCAGGUGUAGCGGUGAAAUGCGUAGAGAUCUGGAGGAAUACCGGUGGCGAAGGCGGCCCCCUGGACAAAGACUGACGCUCAGGUGCGAAAGCGUGGGGAGCAAACAGGAUUAGAUACCCUGGUAGUCCACGCCGUAAACGAUGUCGACUUGGAGGUUGUGCCCUUGAGGCGUGGCUUCCGGAGCUAACGCGUUAAGUCGACCGCCUGGGGAGUACGGCCGCAAGGUUAAAACUCAAAUGAAUUGACGGGGGCCCGCACAAGCGGUGGAGCAUGUGGUUUAAUUCGAUGCAACGCGAAGAACCUUACCUACUCUUGACAUCCAGAGAACUUUCCAGAGAUGGAUUGGUGCCUUCGGGAACUCUGAGACAGGUGCUGCAUGGCUGUCGUCAGCUCGUGUUGUGAAAUGUUGGGUUAAGUCCCGCAACGAGCGCAACCCUUAUCCUUUGUUGCCAGCGGUUCGGCCGGGAACUCAAAGGAGACUGCCAGUGAUAAACUGGAGGAAGGUGGGGAUGACGUCAAGUCAUCAUGGCCCUUACGAGUAGGGCUACACACGUGCUACAAUGGCGCAUACAAAGAGAAGCGACCUCGCGAGAGCAAGCGGACCUCAUAAAGUGCGUCGUAGUCCGGAUUGGAGUCUGCAACUCGACUCCAUGAAGUCGGAAUCGCUAGUAAUCGUAGAUCAGAAUGCUACGGUGAAUACGUUCCCGGGCCUUGUACACACCGCCCGUCACACCAUGGGAGUGGGUUGCAAAAGAAGUAGGUAGCUUAACCUUCGGGAGGGCGCUUACCACCUUUGGAAUUAACCGGG